GACGAACGCUGGCGGCGUGCCUAAUACAUGCAAGUCGAGCGAGCGGAACUAACUGGGUUUCUUGGGGAAUGACGAUAGGAAAGCGAGCGGCGGAUGGGGGAGUCAGAAGUGGGGGACAGGCCGGCGAGACUGGGAUAACACUUGGAAACAGGUGCUGAGACCGGGUGAGAAAGCAGAUCGCAUGAUGCGCUUUUAAAAGGCGGCGUAAGCUUACGCAGUUGGAGGGGCCCACGGUGAAUUAGCUAAUUGGUAAGGUAAAGGCUUACCAAGGCGACGAUGCAUAGCCGAUUUGAGAGACUGAUCGGCCACAUUGGGACUGAGACACGGCCCAAACUCCUACGGGAGGCAGCAGUAGGGAAUCUUCCACAAUGGGCGCAAGCCUGAUCGAGCAAUGCCGCGUGAGUGAAGAAGGUUUUCGGAUCGUAAACCUCUGUUGUUGGUGAAGAAGGCUUGUGGGCUAAAACCCCCGUUAUUUGACGGUACCCGACCAGUAAGCACCGGCUAACUACGUG
This 512-nucleotide ribosomal RNA is filed under the name uncultured bacterium. RNAcentral describes it as "partial 16S ribosomal RNA". It matches the Rfam family "Bacterial small subunit ribosomal RNA", at positions 28 to 507 of the family's 1533-position model. The record is from RNAcentral.